AGUGAACGCUGGCGGUAGGCCUAACACAUGCAAGUCGAACGGCAGCACAGUAAGAGCUUGCUCUUACGGGUGGCGAGUGGCGGACGGGUGAGGAAUACAUCGGAAUCUACUUUUUCGUGGGGGAUAACGUAGGGAAACUUACGCUAAUACCGCAUACGACCUACGGGUGAAAGCAGGGGAUCUUCGGACCUUGCGCGAUUGAAUGAGCCGAUGUCGAAUUAGCUAGUUGGCGGGGUAAAGGCCCACCAAGGCGACGAUCCGUAGCUGGUCUGAGAGGAUGAUCAGCCACAAUGGAACUGAGACACGGUACAGACUCCUACGGGAGGCAGCAGUGGGGAAUAGUGGACAAUGGGCGCAAGCCUGAUCAAGCCAUACCGCGUGGGUGAAGAAGGCCUUCGGGUUGUAAAGCCCUUUUGUUGGGAAAGAAAAGCAGCAGGUUAAUACCCCGCUGUUCUGACGGUACCCAAAGAAUAAGCACCGGCUAACUUCGUG
This 492-nucleotide ribosomal RNA is filed under the name uncultured bacterium. Its description in RNAcentral is "partial 16S ribosomal RNA". It matches the Rfam family "Bacterial small subunit ribosomal RNA", at positions 29 to 507 of the family's 1533-position model. The record is from RNAcentral.